Molecule: long non-coding RNA, 2224 nt
Organism: Phyllostomus hastatus (greater spear-nosed bat)
Lineage: Eukaryota; Metazoa; Chordata; Mammalia; Chiroptera; Phyllostomidae
Exons: 4
Source: RefSeq, a predicted model, not a curated record
GAAAAGAUGCCUUUGUGCUAAAUAAGGAAACAAAAGCCUGGCUUCUCCAACACAUUUGUGCUCUCCAAGGAACUAUGGGAAGAUGGGCUUAUUCAUCCAUAAUGAAGUUGUCAUCGACAGGGUGGCACGAGAAGCAGAAAACUGAAAACUGGAGAGAAGAACUUGCUCAAAGUCACGCAGCUAGUAUGUGACCAACAGAAACCAAACUCUGGUCUGUCCUGCCCCCCAAACGUGCCUGCGCCCUUCCGUGCCCCACACUGUGUUGGGUCCUGGGCGGGGCUCAGUCGGUCUGGCUUCUUGGCCUGCUCUGCCACCAACUGUGUGACCCUGUACGGGUUGCCAGCUUUUCGGGUCUCGUAAUUUCAUGGCUGCCCCUUCCUAGAAGAUCUCCCAUUCUAUGGGCACUCCCAUAGAAGUACCCAUUCAACUCUGAUUUUGAUGACGCCCUGGCAGCAAAGCCGACGACUUACCAACAUGCAGGCUGCCUCCCCGUACAGUGUGUAUUCAUUCUCCACGCGAUUGGUGAAUUUGCCUUUGUCGGCGUCACAGAGGAAGGAGCGACAUCAGUGACGUCACUGCAGGGCAUCCCUGGGACCUCUUCUCUGGAACAAGGCAUCCAAGGGAAGCAAGGAACCUGGUGAGGGCGGCAGGUCAGAUGUGCUUUCCCCUGGUUUACAGUUGAGAAGGGAAGCCGGCUGAUAGAAGCUCAGAUGCCCGGGAAGCAUCUCUCACCUGUCUCCCGAGGGCUCACCCUUCUUCCUUGACGCUCCCCAGAUCCUGCUCAGAGCACCGCCACCCAACCACUGGGUCUGCUCACAGACAGAUGCCGCCAUUACACACCUCCUUCCCCAGAGCAGGGAGACCCAAUUAUUUUCUUCAACUUUAAAACGUGUGAAGUUCCCGUGCUCAGAAAACCCGAUCUGUCCAUCCUGCCAGAGCUGGUUUCCCAAACCCCGAGCCAUGUACUAUAACUAAUACCUUCGUGCCAAGCACUUGACGGACUCCAUCACAGCCGGGAGCAUUCUGGCUUAGGGAUGGUUUUUACCCGAAACAAAGGAAAGCCUUUCCCUGAAGCGACUCGGGCAAACAGGGAGCAGGCUGUCUCGUUACUGGCACUUCGUGGUGCUUGUUUAGGCGGGCGGCGUAAAGGGAUCCCGGUCUGAGUCUCCAGCCUCACCGUGUCCCGAAAUCCCUGAGACCUGGAGCACGUCACUCAGACUCACCCAAGCUCAUUUUCCCACCCGUAAAACCAGGACCGCAAAAACAACCUUCCUCACUACCUGCACCGUUGGUACGAAAAACGCUCUGUACAUUUAAAGUGCUAUUGAAAAGUCUGCUCUUGUAAACAUUCGUAUUUUGGUAAUAUAAUAGCUGAUUUUCUUUUUUUAACUGUUGUUCUAUUACGGUUGUCCCAAUUUUCCUCCCUUUGCCCUCCUUUGCCCAGCCCACGCCACGCUCCCCUAGUCCAGCCCCACGCUGAUGUCCAGGUCCAUGGGUCAUGCACACAUGUUCUCUGACUAGUCCCUUCCCCUUCUUUCCACCAUUGCCCCCUCUCGCCUCUCCCCUGGCCACUGUCAGUCUGAUGUUCUAAUUACCGCCCUCCCUGCUGUGAUGCUGUGAAUGCUCUGGCCAUACCCCAGAGGCACCUGCUAGUGACCUCGGAGUUCUGACCUUGCUUCCAGAUCACGAGCUCUCUAGACAGGUUUCCAACAUUCAGUCCCCUUUCCUGAAAGAUGAAAUGUCUCUCUUCUCUGUCCCUUCUUGCUCUGGGAUACCUGACAUUAUGUCUUCAGUGAUUUUAGAUUUUUAAAAAGAUACAAUCAGCUUUUAUUUUUGUGCACAAAAAGCCACAAGGUAAGAAAAUAGUGGGGCUGACAACCUGCUUAGAAUGAAAGGAACAAGAAAACUGCACUCAACAAAGCGCAUUCCUGUUUCAGAAAACGAGCUGCUACAAUAGAAGCAGCCAGACCUGGCAUCAGUCCAUUGUCGUAUUUCUUUUGGAUUGGAAUCUCUGUGGCUAUGUGCGUUAAUGAGCUUUUUGUUUGAAAUAUAUUGUUUAUAUCAACAUUUAGUACUGACACAGAAUUUGUUACCGUAGAGAUUGCUAUGAUUUUGUUAUUCAAUCUCUAAGUUUGUAUUUACAAAGAAAACAAUUUAAUGUACAUAGGUUAAUAUAAUUCUGUGCCAAUUAGGUAAGCUGUGUUACUGUAAUAAUAAAUAUAAU